AGACGCUUCCUGCCUCGACAUAAAAUUGUGGCAUCGAGGAACAAAGCAUUAGAGCAGAAAUUCAAACCUCCCGUAUAUUCUCCAAGUUGCGAAGAAUGAAGCUUUACAACUCCCGCAGAUAAGGAAACGGAAGGAAAUGAGUCUCAUUCGCCAAGAGAUAAAAGAGGAGAUUUUCCGCGGAAACAUCUGUGUAAAAUAAACAUGGAGCACUUUUCCUGC
Magallana angulata is the source of this 219-nucleotide long non-coding RNA. RefSeq lists it as uncharacterized. The record is from RefSeq and is a predicted model, not a curated record. The transcript is spliced from 3 exons. NCBI's taxonomy places the organism in Eukaryota, Metazoa, Mollusca, Bivalvia, Ostreida, Ostreidae.